Ictalurus punctatus (channel catfish) is the source of this 1781-nucleotide long non-coding RNA. The record is from Ensembl. NCBI's taxonomy places the organism in Eukaryota, Metazoa, Chordata, Actinopteri, Siluriformes, Ictaluridae.
GUGCGUCAUAUCUGACACCUAGAUGAACACUUUGCAGUUGGUUAUAUGACUGUAAGUCAUUCCCUUCAAACGCUAUUGAAGUUAGAAUCGUGUAUAACAAUGUUGUAUGUAACUUUAGAGACGGUCCCUUAAUUUCCACAUGAUUUCCACGUCCAACGACAAACCAACUUUAUGCCAGUCAGAAAAUAAGAUCCUGACCUCAAGCACUUCCUAACAGACAAACCGUUCUACAUUGUUAUCUAGCUUGGUUUUCAAUCAAGGGUGCUAGUCUGUUGCCUGAGGGAAAUCAAGUCAAUUAUUCCUCAGAAUAGGGGUGUGUGAUAUGUGAUAUGACAACAACAACAACAAAAACGUUACCAAAGUGUCCUUUUUGUGUCCUUUGUUUGGUAGCAUCAAGGGUACGUACAAGGAGUCCAAUUAUGUACUUUUAAUUUGCUUUUAAGAGAACAAUGUAUUCAUGGUUCCAUGCUGAAUCUACUGUAUAAACUAAAGGUAGAAAAGAUGUACCGUUCAAGGAACCACCUCAAGUGAGUGUAGUGGUGGGCGAUGUAUGAUACUGAAAGUGCUACCAUCAAGUGUCCCAAGUUUUGAACCUUUGAUGUGUAUUGUUCACCUGGGAACAUGCACAUGGCGUACCUUGAAUGAGCUUUUAAAAUGAAGCUUAAAAGGUACAUCAGGAGUCCAAUUAUGUAGCUGAAAUGACUUUUUAAGGCUACACUAUGUUCUUGUUUCCAUGUGAAAGGUAAGUAUUUAUUAAAAUGUGUACCCUUGAUGGUACCAACUUACUAACAAGGUGACGAAAGCAUGAACUAAAAUUUCUGCAUCAUGCAGUGACAAUAUAUUUCUUAUCUUAGCAAUAUUUCUGAGCUGAAAGAAGGCUAUCCUAGUAAUAUUAUCUACAUGAGCAGCAAAUGAUAGACUGGAGUCAAUAAUCACUCCAAGGUCUUUUAGUGCUGUACAUGAUGAAACGGAAAGUCCAUCCAGAGUUACUGUGUGAUCAGAACACUUACUUCUAACUACACGUGGUCCUAGUAUAAGUCCUUCUGUCUUGUCAGAAUUAAUUAAGAGGAAGUUAAUAAGCAUCCAACGUCUAAUGUCUUACACAUUCCUCAACUUUAUUAAGCUGGUGUCUGUCCUCUGGCUUCGCUGAAACAUACAGCUGUGUAUCAUCAGCAUAACAGUGGAAGAUAAUUCCAUGUUUACGAAUAAUUUGACCUAGAGGUAGCAUAUAUAGAGUAAAAAGCAGUGGGCCUAAAACAGAACCUUGUGGAACACCAAAUUUAACCUCGGUAUGCGUGGAGAAGUCUCCAUUUACAUCUAUGAACUGAUAACGAUCGGUCUAAUAAGACUUGAGCCAGGAGAGGACUGUUCCCUUAAUGCCAACAACGUAUUCUAGUCUAUCAAGGAGAAUAGUAUGAUCUAUAGUAUCAAAAGCUGCACUAAGGUUGAGUAAUACAACAGCGAGACACAACCCUGAUCAGAGUCCAGUAGUAGGUCAUUUACUACUUUAAUCAGCGCUGUCUCUGUGCUAUGAUGAGGUCUAAAUCCCGACUGAUAUAUUUCAUGAAUAUGCUGUUCCUAUGUAUGUACGAGCAUAACUGCUGUGCUACAACCUUUUCUAAUAUCAUGGAGAUAAAGGGGAGAUUUGAUAUUGGUCUAUAGCUGGACAGUUGAGAGGGGUCAAGGUCAAGUUUUUUAAUCAGGACUUUGAUAACUGCUCAUUUAAAUGAUUUAGGCACAUAGCCAGCGCUAAGGGAAGAAUUGAUUAUUUUUAGAAGGGG